Molecule: non-coding RNA, 72 nt
Organism: Nymphaea colorata (pocket water lily)
Lineage: Eukaryota; Viridiplantae; Streptophyta; Magnoliopsida; Nymphaeales; Nymphaeaceae
Source: the annotation of a RefSeq genome assembly
UGCGCAAUAGUACAGCUGGUAGUAUCUCUGACUGUCCAUCAGAUGACCCGAGUUCAAUUCUCGGUUGCGCAG